Molecule: ribosomal RNA, 483 nt
Filed under: uncultured bacterium
Lineage: Bacteria
Description: partial 16S ribosomal RNA
Rfam family: Bacterial small subunit ribosomal RNA
Source: RNAcentral
AUUGAACGCUGGCGGCAGGCCUAACACAUGCAAGUCGAGCGGAAGAAGGGAGCUUGCUCCUGGAUUCAGCGGCGGACGGGUGAGUAAUGCCUAGGAAUCUGCCUGGUAGUGGGGGAUAACGUCCGGAAACGGGCGCUAAUACCGCAUACGUCCUGAGGGAGAAAGUGGGGGAUCUUCGGACCUCACGCUAUCAGAUGAGCCUAGGUCGGAUUAGCUAGUUGGUGGGGUAAAGGCCUACCAAGGCGACGAUCCGUAACUGGUCUGAGAGGAUGAUCAGUCACACUGGAACUGAGACACGGUCCAGACUCCUACGGGAGGCAGCAGUGGGGAAUAUUGGCAAUGGGCGAAAGCCUGAUCCAGCCAUGCCGCGUGUGUGAAGAAGGUCUUCGGAUUGUAAAGCACUUUAAGUUGGGAGGAAGGGCAGUAAGUUAAUACCUUGCUGUUUUGACGUUACCAACAGAAUAAGCACCGGCUAACUUCGUG